ACACAUUAGUCCUUUUAGAUGCCUCCUCUCACCCUUCCUUAGGCAGGACUGAAGCACCAGAGCCUCUUGGGGUGUCCUCUGGGUUGGGACAGCCUCUCACCCCAUCCCCUGCUCGGGGGAGCUCCUGUAGCUGCCCUGCUUUGUGCUCUGCUUCCUCAGCACCGGUUACGCAAGAGGCUUUGGAAGCAAGACAAAAUAGCAGCGGGAAGAAAUCAUCGCACGGCUCUGGUGGGAAAAGAUAUUAUCCUGCGUUGCCGGCGAGACUGGCCGUCGGCAGGUAGGGCCCGGAGGAGCGCUUCGUGGCAGGAUGAUCGCUGAUAAGAUGCCGGGUCCUGCUCCGAUGGCCUCGGGAGAGGGAAGCGCUGUGCUGUGAAGCUAUGGAAACGGCCAGGCUGGGUGCGGAGCGGUAAUUGGGCCACUCGCAUCACCGCAGGUAGUUCCUCCCCUUUCCAGGAUGAUGAGAACAGCAGUGGGAGAUUUAUCCUUGAGAAGGGAAGGAUUCAGAGGGAUCUAAAGCAGCCGUGCAGUACCUAUGAAGAGAUGUUUGAGAAGACAGCCAGACUCUUCAGAGCAGUUCAUGGUGAGAGGAAGAGAGACAACAGGUGUAAGGAAUUCAGUGUUUGGCUGGAGCGUUCAAAGGAGAUUUAAAAAGAGAAGAUAAAAAAGAAAGUUAAAAGCUGCCCAGUGAGGGGUGGAAGCAGGAACGUGGGGAGAGAUCAGGGGCAGCGCCGUCAGCAAAGCAAUGGCAGGACACCGAGAGAAGAUGAGGAGAGCCUUCAUCCCACGACUGCCCAGCCAGGACACUGAUUCCCAUCCUCCAGCAUCUGCAUCUGUUGUGGCCAUCUGCAAGCUGAGUCCUGGCAUUUCCAGAGCCCUGGAGAGCCCUGACUCUGCGGGAGGAGUGGGGCUGGAGGCAGCGGCGCUGGGCGACCCCGGUGGGAGCAGGGAGCCGUGCCUGGGGGAGUGGGACCGGCAGCCUGGGAAGGACGGGAUGAAGCAGGGACACAGAGCAAGACACCGGGAGGGAAAAUGUUAAUCAACUGCAGUGCCUCCCUGAAAGGAGCCAAAUGUAAAUGAGAUAAUUAAGCUAUUAUUUAAAGCCGGGAGACGGUGGGGACAGGCCCGGGGUGGCCGGACUGCAUUUUAAUCAGCUGCCUGGCUGGGGCUGGGGAGCCCGUGCUGGUGAUGCCCCUGCCUCUGAUUCCCUGCCUCUGCAUCCCUGCCUUGGCUGCCGGGCUCCUGGGUUACCGAACAGCCCCUCUGUGAGCCACUGCCAACCGCUGUCCCCUCUGCCCAGCCACUGCCAUCCCGUGUCCCCAGGUAACCUGCCAGGUCAGGGGGCAAGGGGUUCAGGUGUGGGGGGUAUCUACUCCUGUGUUACCACCUUUCUGUGGGGUUUUGUUUAGGCUGCAGGAGUCCCUCUGGUGCCUCAGUUUACCUGUUCUUGCUGUUUUGGAUGCUAAAAGCUUGUAACGAGAGUAAGCAGUGCUGGUGAGGAUAAAUCCACCCAAGGAAAAGCAGAAUUUAAUUGCUCCAGUGGUGUUGGCCAGACUGGGUUUUGGGAGCCUUUUUUAACUGUCUUGUGUGGAGUUACCAGGUGACCAGAAGAAGUCUAAGUAAUUGCCCUGUGGCUCCGUUUCCCCACCUCUGGGAGCAGCGCUGAGGUUUGGAGCCGCUCUCAGCACAGUGGGGAGCUCCAAGGUCACUUGUGAACUGCUGUGAGCCAAAAAAUGGGGCAGAACUGGACUUUCUUCCUGUGUUUCUUUGUUUUGGUCAGGGAUGGAAAAGAAAACUGUCCAAAGCCAUCCACAACAAGGACAGUGAAGUCAUUUUGUUCCCAUGCCAUCGGGACCAUCCUUGCUGGUGGUGGAAGAUCUGGCUCCUGGAGGCAGAGACCUCUGAGCAGCAGGGGGAAGACGGAUGGUUGUUCGCUCCUUUUCUCAUAUAUCAACCAGGAUCUAGGUGAAGCACAGUUAGUAGGGGCCAGGUUCAAAGGAAACCCGAGGAGAUGUCUGUUCCAUGGAGCACCCUUAAGGAGAGCUCCACGCUGCAGGGGGAGCGGGUGCUCCCACUUCGCAUGGGAGGUGUGAGAGUUCAAAGACACAAGGAAAAAGCCCAUGGAGAGCUCUUAAGGAGAAAGGCAGCACCUCUCCAGCUCAGAAAACCCUGCUCCAUGGAUGUCUGGAGAUCAGGGGAGCAAGCAAACGUUUCACGUGCCAACCACAUUUGUAAUCGCUUCCCCAGGCACCUGGCACUGGCCCCGAUGGAAAAGGGGGACCAGGUUAGACAGAUGCCUCCUGCCUCUUUACAACACAGCCCUUAUCUUUCAAGAGGCUUUCUUACUGUAUGGUUAAAUGGUAAAUUAAAAGCCUGAUCCAGAGUGGCUUUCAAGUGCCUUGCUCUUAUUUAGGUACCUCCUUCCUGCUAUUUCCAUUCCUUCACAGAGCUGGGCCCUUAAAUCCUGAAGACACUUCAGAAAAUGCUAUCCAGCAUUCCAUCUUAGCAAAGGAUUAUUCCAGCUAGUCCACGGACCUCUGAGCAUCCUGCCAGUGAUGGCAACUGACCCCUGGCUGUGUGUGGGCUGGUCCUGUGCCAUGUCCCUCCUGGGGCUGCCAGUGGUGGUGGCAGGGACACUGUGGAGGGGGUUGGUUUUUCCAAAGCACGCUGCUGGGGAGCACCACGCUGACCCACCCGAGCGUGAACCCAGCCUCCCACUGCUUUAUUUGCGCAAAGCAGCCGGGUUUUUCUCCCUUCUCUCCACCCAGGCAGCCAGGCUGCAGCUGCCUCCCCUCUCCUGGGCCUGGGGAGGGACUUCAGGUGCCAUCGGGCUAUAAAUGCUUAGCACCAGCCCCGCUGUGGGGGUGCUGCAGUUUUAUUUGUGCGCUCAGGGUGUGCACGGGCAGGUAUGGCCUUUGCUGACUGAGGAAUGGGUUUGCACCCUUGUGUCUCCAUCUCCCUCCCCCCCAGCUCUCAGGUGGGGUGAGCGCCAUCAGCUCUGCCAGACGGAUGUGAUCACAGAGUGUGUCCAGGCCUCCGAUCAAUCACUGAGUGUCCCCAGGGCUCAGAUCUCAGUGGCCCUGGGCAAGAUCACACAGAUUGAGCUUGGAAGCUGGGCUGGAAGUCCUUUAUAGCUCCAAAAUAAUUUGAGGAAUGAAGAAAGCAAAUUCCCUGUGAUUUAUCCAACCAAUCCCAGAGUGAUGAGGAGGAGUUUGGGGUCACACGUGGCACAGGGGUUGCAAUGCCUUGGUCUGAACUGACCAUUGGACGAUGUGAGAAGAGAACACAGGAGGUGAAAUGUGUGGUUCUUGGGGGUUUAUUUGCCAUAGGAAACAAUUUGCAUUUCUGUUUCCUUCUGCCUGGUAUUCACAGGCAAGACAAAAUUAGCCAAACAAUCUUUCUCUGAGCUCUGAGGUUUACUGCCCUGUGACUCAACUUCCCCAACUGUGUUCUAGGGAGAACAAUCCUUUCUUCCCAGUCAGCAGUGUGGGAAGCUUUGUGCACCUCCUCCUUCAGGCAAAGCUCUGUCCAGAGCAUCCAGAUGGGAAGAAACUCUGCACUUGUGUGUCUUUAAUCCCAGUUCCAGGACUGAGAGUUUGCAAACGGCCAGUGAGUGUGCCACAGGACCGUGCACGUGCUGGGGACAAGAGGAGAUGCUGAUGGCACAGCCCCUCCGGAGAGCACAAGCACAGCCUGGUGCCUUCAUUCCUUGGGGCCAGCAAGGGUCCAAGCAGUGAACUCAUGGAUUCAUUGAGGUUGGAAGAGCCCUCUAGGAUCAUCCAGUCCAACCAUUCACCCAGCACUGUCAAGGCCACCACCAAACUGUGUCCCCAGGUGCUGCAUCUCUGCAUUUUUAACACUUCCAGGGAUGGUGACUCCACCAUUUCCCAGGGCAGCUGGUUCCAGUGCCUGGCAACCCUUUCAGUGGAUCCCAGGGUAUGAUGGGAUGCUGAAGGACAUGUUGCAGAUCUCAGGGGAAGCUUGGCAGUGCCUUGGUCUCUCUGCCUGUGCAGGAGCAACCCAGGGUGGGCAACCUUCAUUUCUAGAGGUCCCUGUGCAGAUAUCUUGGGGUGGCAGAGGUGGCUCCUCACCUUAUUGUGCCUGUACUGAGCAGAGGAGGGAGUUCACCUGUCCUGAAGCUCAACACAAGCCUGGAGAGCUUCUUCACAUCAUCUCUGGGGUGGAAGUGUGGCUGUGAGGUGGCCAGGGCUGAGUGGGACUUGGUGGCAUUGCCAGGCUGGAUUCGUGCCUGGAGGGGCAAAGCUUGGUGCCACAGCCUGCAGUGCUGGCACAGCUUAACAGGCUCCCAGCAAAGCUACUGGCACGAGUGGCCCCUGGUCUGGGCAGUGUGCUGGGGGGCUGGGGGGGCUUUCACAGCCUGCACAGCCAUUCCGGGCAAAUCCGUCUCAGGAUGAGGCAAAAUUAAAUAAAAAACCGACU
This is a long non-coding RNA of Corvus hawaiiensis (hawaiian crow), 4437 nucleotides long. RefSeq lists it as uncharacterized. The record is from RefSeq and is a predicted model, not a curated record. Lineage: Eukaryota; Metazoa; Chordata; Aves; Passeriformes; Corvidae. The transcript has 3 exons.